This 117-nucleotide ribosomal RNA is filed under the name Echinops telfairi (small Madagascar hedgehog). The record is from RNAcentral. Lineage: Eukaryota; Metazoa; Chordata; Mammalia; Afrosoricida; Tenrecidae.
UAAUACAGUCUUACCACCCAGGACGCACCCAAUCUCCUCUGAUCUCCAAAGCUAAGCAAGUUUGGAUCUAGUUAGCAUUUGUAAGGAGCCAGGGUAGGGUAAUAGAUUAUAUAUUGA